GACGAACGCUGGCGGCGUGCUUAACACAUGCAAGUCGAACGGUGAAGCGCCUUCCUUUUUGGUGGGUGUGGAUGAGUGGCGAACGGGUGAGUAACACGUGAGUAACCUGCCCCCUUCUUCUGGAUAACCGCAUGAAAGUGUGGCUAAUACGGGAUAUUCUGGGUCUGUCGCAUGAUGGGUCUGGGAAAGAUAUUGUUUCGGUGGGGGAUGGGCUCGCGGCCUAUCAGCUUGUUGGUGGGGUGAUGGCCUACCAAGGCGGUGACGGGUAGCCGGCCUGAGAGGGUGGACGGUCACACUGGGACUGAGACACGACCCAGACUCCGACGGGAGGCAGCAGUGGGGAAUAUUGCACAAUGGGCGCAAGCCUGAUGCAGCGACGCCGCGUGAGGGAUGGAGGCCUUCGGGUUGUGAACCUCUUUCGCCAGUGAAGCAGGCCUGCCUCGUUUGUGGGUGGGUUGACGGUAGCUGGAUAAGAAGCGCCGGCUAACUACGUG
This 494-nucleotide ribosomal RNA is filed under the name uncultured bacterium. RNAcentral's name for it is "partial 16S ribosomal RNA". It matches the Rfam family "Bacterial small subunit ribosomal RNA", at positions 28 to 507 of the family's 1533-position model. The record is from RNAcentral.